Long non-coding RNA from Chinchilla lanigera (long-tailed chinchilla), 609 nucleotides. RefSeq lists it as uncharacterized. The record is from RefSeq and is a predicted model, not a curated record. The transcript is spliced from 4 exons. NCBI's taxonomy places the organism in Eukaryota, Metazoa, Chordata, Mammalia, Rodentia, Chinchillidae.
CAUUUGAAUGGUGAACUGAGGAAAUCGGAUGGCCUUCCAUUGCGGGUAGGCACUGUCCUAUAUGCUAAGAGCUUAAACAGAAAAAGCUGAGAAAAGGUUCUCCGCACAAGAUGUACAGCCUGGGGAAAGGGGGCUGGAUCGAGGUAAUCCUGAGACAAUCCUGCUGUGUACACUGACAACUGGGCAGUCUCCACCAUGGAAAAAUAUUUUGCACAUACAUAAUAAUGCACUGCUGUGUAACAUUAACAUAACAAAAACUCCAAUGCAGCUCUCCUGGCGGAAAGGGAAUGAGAAGACUGCCUACGUGAAGAGGGGACGGAAAGAGCAGGGAACGGUGUUGCAGAUGAUCUCAUCUCCCUCGGCCCGAAGUCAUUAAUAAUGUUAGAAACUGGAAAACCAAGAAGGAGCAAGAGGACGGCUGUUUGGAGUUAUGACACUGAGAUUAUUCGGAGGUGAUGCUUAUUAAAAGAAAUCUCCAAAGCAUGGACCAGGCAGAUAAUGACAGAAGUGCCUUCUGAUUAGCCUUGUUUUAUAUGAGACACUGUUGACAUACAGUAAAUGCAUAAGCAGACAUGAAUAAAAUAAACCUCAAUAAAAAGCAUAAAAGAA